UGUCACAGGCCGGAGCGGACCACCAAUUCAACGGGUCUCGCUCCUCCCUCUAACUUCCACCUCGAGGAGGUCCCACAACACCCCAAUGAAUGGACGGACAACCAAGAUUAAAAUGUAACAAUUUUAUUUGUUUAAAAGUUUGGGGAAAGGGGUAAGGAAACUUUAAAACUAAUGAUGACUCGAACUAUUCUUUAUCCACAAAUACGGAUUCCAGUCUCAAGAACACUCCUCUUCAGCCCUUCCUCGACAACACUCCACUUCAGCCCUUAAUUUCCCGCCGACUCCACUCCAGGUAAGUUUAAAGCAAGAGCUAGGCAGUUGACGUGCAGGGGUUCUAGCUCUCAGGUAAAUACAGUGUUCGAUACACAGGUGGGUAUUCACAGGGCUGGGCUGUUAGCGUGCAGGGGUUCUAGCUCUCAGGUAAGUACAGUGUUCGAUACACAGGUAAGUAUUCACAGGGCUGGGCUGUUAGCGUGCAGGGGUUCUAGCUCUCAGGUAAGUACAGUGUUCGAUACACAGGUAAGUAUUCACAGGGCUGAGCUGUUAGCGUGCAGGGGUUCUAGCUCUCAAUGUAAGUACAGUGUUCCAUACACAGGUGGGUAUUCACAGGGCUGAGCUGUUAAUGCGCUACUCACCACUGAAG
This is a long non-coding RNA of Carassius gibelio (silver crucian carp), 643 nucleotides long. RefSeq lists it as uncharacterized. The transcript is spliced from 3 exons. Lineage: Eukaryota; Metazoa; Chordata; Actinopteri; Cypriniformes; Cyprinidae. The record is from RefSeq and is a predicted model, not a curated record.